Molecule: ribosomal RNA, 537 nt
Filed under: uncultured bacterium
Lineage: Bacteria
Description: bacterial SSU rRNA
Rfam family: Bacterial small subunit ribosomal RNA
Source: RNAcentral
CCCUUGGCCUUGACAUACUAAGAACUUUCCAGAGAUGGAUUGGUGCCUUCGGGAACUUAGAUACAGGUGCUGCAUGGCUGUCGUCAGCUCGUGUCGUGAGAUGUUGGGUUAAGUCCGCAACGAGCGCAACCCUUUUCCUUAUUUGCCAGCGGGUAAUGCCGGGAACUUUAAGGAUACUGCCAGUGACAAACUGGAGGAAGGCGGGGACGACGUCAAGUCAUCAUGGCCCUUACGGCCAGGGCUACACACGUGCUACAAUGGUCGGUACAAAGGGUUGCUACCUCGCGAGAGGAUGCUAAUCUCAAAAAGCCGAUCGUAGUCCGGAUCGCAGUCUGCAACUCGACUGCGUGAAGUCGGAAUCGCUAGUAAUCGCGGAUCAGAAUGCCGCGGUGAAUACGUUCCCGGGCCUUGUACACACCGCCCGUCACACCAUGGGAGUUUGUUGCACCAGAAGUAGGUAGUCUAACCGCAAGGAGGACGCUUACCACGGUGUGGCCGAUGACUGGGGUGAAGUCGUAACAAGGUAGGCGUAGAUGA